RNAcentral lists this ribosomal RNA (483 nucleotides) under uncultured bacterium. Its description in RNAcentral is "partial 16S ribosomal RNA". It matches the Rfam family "Bacterial small subunit ribosomal RNA", at positions 30 to 507 of the family's 1533-position model. The record is from RNAcentral.
AUUGAACGCUGGCGGCAGGCCUAACACAUGCAAGUCGAGCGGAUGAAGGGAGCUUGCUCCUGGAUUCAGCGGCGGACGGGUGAGUAAUGCCUAGGAAUCUGCCUGGUAGUGGGGGAUAACGUCCGGAAACGGGCGCUAAUACCGCAUACGUCCUGAGGGAGAAAGUGGGGGAUCUUCGGACCUCACGCUAUCAGAUGAGCCUAGGUCGGAUUAGCUAGUUGGUGGGGUAAAGGCCUACCAAGGCGACGAUCCGUAACUGGUCUGAGAGGAUGAUCAGUCACACUGGAGCUGAGACACGGUCCAGACUCCUACGGGAGGCAGCAGUGGGGAAUAUUGGACAAUGGGCGAAAGCCUGAUCCAGCCAGCCGCGUGUGUGAAGAAGGUCUUCGGAUUGUAAAGCACUUUAAGUUGGGAGGAAGGGCAGUAAGUUAAUACCUUGCUGUUUUGACGUUACCAACAGAAUAAGCACCGGCUAACUUCGUG